CCUACGGGAGGCAGCAGUGAGGAAUAUUGGUCAAUGGAAGAGAGUCUGAACCAGCCAAGUAGCGUGAAGGAUGACUGCCCUAUGGGUUGUAAACUUCUUUUAUAUGGGAAUAAAACAGGGUAUGCAUACCCUCUUGUAUGUACCAUAUGAAUAAGGAUCGGCUAACUCCGUGCCAGCAGCCGCGGUAAUACGGAGGAUGCGAGCGUUAUCCGGAUUUAUUGGGUUUAAAGGGCGCGUAGGUGGAUUGUUAAGUCAGUUGUGAAAGUUUGCGGCUCAACCGUAAAAUUGCAGUUGAAACUGGCAGUCUUGAGUACACGAGAGGUGCGCGGAAUUCGCGGUGUAGCGGUGAAAUGCUUAGAUAUCACGAAGAACUCCGAUUGCGAAGGCAGCUCACUGGCCUCAAACUGACACUGAUGCUCGAAAGUGUGGGUAUCGAACAGGAUUAGAUACCCGUGUAGUC
Molecule: ribosomal RNA, 460 nt
Filed under: uncultured bacterium
Lineage: Bacteria
Description: partial 16S ribosomal RNA
Rfam family: Bacterial small subunit ribosomal RNA
Source: RNAcentral